Molecule: transfer RNA, 74 nt
Filed under: Vinciguerria nimbaria (oceanic lightfish)
Lineage: Eukaryota; Metazoa; Chordata; Actinopteri; Stomiiformes; Phosichthyidae
Description: tRNA-Leu
Rfam family: tRNA
About the family: Transfer RNA (tRNA) molecules are approximately 80 nucleotides in length.
Source: RNAcentral
AUUAAGAUGGCAGAGCCCGGUAAAUGCAAAAGACCUAAACUCUUUCUCCAGAGGUUCAAAUCCUCUUCUUAAUA